UCUGCUCAUGGUUAGAGCUUGAAGUUGAGGCCACUGUUUGGCCGAUGAACUGACAAGUGGGGGUAGUGUGGUACCCCGACAUGAGGGGCAAGUUUCUCAUUAACACUGCAAGGGUCUCUGGCCCCAUGAUUGGAGUUUGAUAGUAACACGUGCUACAAGU
Molecule: small nucleolar RNA, 160 nt
Organism: Camelus dromedarius (Arabian camel)
Lineage: Eukaryota; Metazoa; Chordata; Mammalia; Artiodactyla; Camelidae
Source: Ensembl